This 69-nucleotide antisense RNA is filed under the name Actinophytocola xanthii. RNAcentral describes it as "ASpks TB sRNA". It matches the Rfam family "ASpks TB sRNA". Lineage: Bacteria; Bacillati; Actinomycetota; Actinomycetes; Pseudonocardiales; Pseudonocardiaceae. The record is from Rfam by way of RNAcentral.
CUUCAGCGACCCCAACCACACCGGCGUUGACCGGUCCUGUCCGUAGGUGGCCAGUACGGCCUGCGCCUC